RNAcentral lists this ribosomal RNA (253 nucleotides) under uncultured bacterium. Its description in RNAcentral is "partial 16S ribosomal RNA". It matches the Rfam family "Bacterial small subunit ribosomal RNA", at positions 524 to 776 of the family's 1533-position model. The record is from RNAcentral.
UACGUAGGGUGCGAGCGUUGUCCGGAAUUAUUGGGCGUAAAGGGCUCGUAGGCGGUCUGUCGCGUCGGCUGUGAAAACUCGGGGCUCAACUCCGGAAUUGCCUUUGAGACUGCAUCGCUAGAAUUGUGGAGAGGUAAGUGGAAUUCCGAGUGUAGAGGUGAAAUUCGUAGAUAUUCGGAAGAACACCGGUGGCGAAGGCGGGUCUCUGGGCAGUAACUGACGCUGAGGAGCGAAAGCGUGGGGAGCGAACAGG